This 845-nucleotide ribosomal RNA is filed under the name Aphanostoma cuernos. Its description in RNAcentral is "bacterial SSU rRNA". It matches the Rfam family "Eukaryotic small subunit ribosomal RNA", at positions 51 to 913 of the family's 1831-position model. Lineage: Eukaryota; Metazoa; Xenacoelomorpha; Acoela; Convolutidae. The record is from RNAcentral.
AUGCAUGUGUGAGUUCAACUGAACAAAGUGAAACCGCGGAUGGCUCAGUAAAUCAGUCUGAAUCCAUCGAGUGAUGAUUCCAAUAAGGAUAUCUCAAGUAACCCUUGAGCUAAUACUUGGUACCAUCCUCUUUGUAGGAUGUCUAACUCUAGUCAGUUACCUGCUCCUGGUAAAACGGGGGUGACGCAGGAACGCAACAGGAGAGCUUUCGAUCCCGCUUCGAAUACGACGGGACGCAAUCACGGAAUGUCUGACCUAUCAAUUAGGGACGGUAGUGUAUUGGACUACCAUGGUUCUGACGGGUGACGGGGAAUCAGGGUUCUAUUCCGGAGAGGCAGCCUAAGAAACGGCUACUACACCCAAGGGAGGCAGCAGGCGCGCAAAUUACCCAAUACUAGAUUAGUGAGGUAGUGACGAGAAAUAACAAUACAUCACUUUUGUGUUGUAAUUGGAAUGACAGUGAAUUAAAGUCUCUAUGAAGGAGCAAGUGGAGGGCAAGUCUGGUGCCAGCAGCCGCGGUAAUACCAGCUUCCACAAGCAUAUGCAUAAGUUGCUGCGUUUAGAAAGCUCGUAGUUGGUGCUGUUACGGUCGCUACAACUGUUAGCCUAACUGGCUUCGCGUAGUUGCUGUAUCUGUGUGCCUUCCGUGUGUUGCACUUAAUUGUGUGAUGCAUAGAAGACAGUUUUACCUAGAAUAAAUCAGGGUGUUCAAAGCAGCCUUUGGGUAUGAAUAUUGGAGCAUGGAAUAAUAGAACAGGACCGUCGACUGUUUUAUGGGUGUUUUGGUAUGACGAUAAUGGUCAACAAAAACAAUUGGGGGUGUUUGUAUUGCUGCGUCAGAGGUG